ACGCUCGACACCUACGUGAGGCAGCAGUGAAGAAUAUUGCGCAAUGGGGCAACCCUGACGCAGCAACGCCGCGUGAAGGAUGAAGGUUUUCGGAUUGUAAACUUCUUUUGUCAAGGACGAAGGACGUGACGGUACUUGACGAAUAAGCCACGGCUAACUACGUACCAGCAGCCGCGGUAAUCUGAGCGGGCUGGCAAGGC
This 200-nucleotide ribosomal RNA is filed under the name uncultured bacterium. Its description in RNAcentral is "partial 16S ribosomal RNA". It matches the Rfam family "Bacterial small subunit ribosomal RNA", at positions 328 to 539 of the family's 1533-position model. The record is from RNAcentral.